Molecule: ribosomal RNA, 578 nt
Filed under: uncultured bacterium
Lineage: Bacteria
Description: bacterial SSU rRNA
Rfam family: Bacterial small subunit ribosomal RNA
Source: RNAcentral
CCUACGGGAGGCAGCAGUGAGGAAUAUUGGUCAAUGGGCGGGAGCCUGAACCAGCCAUCCCGCGUGCAGGAAGGAUGCCCUAUGGGUUGUAAACUGCUUUUUCGCAUGAAGAACAUCCCGAACGAGUUCGGGACUGACGGUAAUGCGAGAAUAAGCACCGGCUAGCUCCGUGCCAGCAGCCGCGGUAAUACGGAGGGUGCAAGCGUUAUCCGGAUUUAUUGGGUUUAAAGGGUGCGUAGGCGGCGAAAUAAGUCAGUGGUGAAAUCCUGCAGCUCAACUGUAGAACAGCCAUUGAAACUGCUUUGCUUGAGUGAUCUUGAGGUAGGCGGAAUGUGUAGUGUAGCGGUGAAAUGCUUAGAUAUUACACAGAACACCGAUUGCGAAGGCAGCUUACCAAGGGUUUACUGACGCUGAUGCACGAAAGCGUGGGGAUCAAACAGGAUUAGAUACCCUGGUAGUCACGCCGUAAACGAUGAUAACUCGCUGUUGGCGAUACACAGUCAGCGGCUUAACGAAAGCGUUAAGUUAUCCACCUGGGGAGUACGCUCGCAAGAGUUGAAACUCAAAGGAAUAGACGG